This is a non-coding RNA of Pelobates cultripes (western spadefoot toad), 301 nucleotides long. Lineage: Eukaryota; Metazoa; Chordata; Amphibia; Anura; Pelobatidae. The record is from the annotation of a GenBank genome assembly.
GUUGUUCCAACUCCUGUUCCAAUAUUACACCAGGAUGGAGAUGAGAGAGAAGAAGAUAAAUACAUAGAGAAGUAGACAAAUUUUACCUCACUUCAUCCUAAAUUUUAUAGCUAGUGAUAAGUGGAUUAUUCCAUUUUAAAUAUCUUCCUUCAUAUUGAUAUCAGUGAGUUGAUUGAAACAAUUUUGCUCCUUAUACAUCUAUAUGUUACAAAAUAUUAAUAUAACAGCCUAAUAUUUGUAAAAAAAAUUUAAAAAAAAUAACGGCUAUAUUUAUUAUCCUGUACUUGUGGCAAUAGUUUAG